UCAAUAAUAGUUAAAAAAAAACUAUAGUAUUGGAAACUAUCAUUCACAUUGUGUUAUUGAA
RNAcentral lists this transfer RNA (61 nucleotides) under Falcidens halanychi. Its description in RNAcentral is "tRNA-Pro". The record is from RNAcentral. Lineage: Eukaryota; Metazoa; Mollusca; Caudofoveata; Chaetodermatida; Chaetodermatidae.